UUUUUUAAAGUGAAAAACAAAUCAGGGAUUAGGGUUUAGUUCCUUAUUUGCGCCCCUUUCCUUUUUACUCUCAAACGAAAAACACAACAUCAUCUCCACUCUCUAGCCACUCAUCCACCAUUGUUCCUUCAUUGAAGAUCAGUCAUCCACCUUCAUCUCUGCAGGUAGGAAUUCCAUGUUUUUUUCAAAGACAACCAUCAAAUGUUGAAUCAUCAUCUUCAAGUAGUAAACCGCUGAAAAUAGAUAUGGAUAAUCUUCCAUGGACUCCUUCCGAGAGGUUCGAUAUUUAUGUUUCGUGUUCUUAAAUUUAUCAAUGAUGAUUUUUUUUUUCAUUCUUGUAUUGUAUUUUUAUUAUGUUAUGAACUUUACCCGACCCGAAUCGUCGAACCGCUCCAUUUUUUUUAUGUUCGGACACUUAAAAAAGUGAACCCCUUGGAAAAAAUUCCUGGAUCCGCCACUGGGUACAUUACCGAAGGAGUCCCAUUGUCUUCAAAAAUGUUUCCAAAAAAGUAGUUUGCAUUGUUUAGCAGAAUUCAGAUAUCCAUAAAUCAUAAACAAAUAACUUAAUCAGCAAUCUAGAAAUCAACAAUGCAACAUUACGUAUUAACCAAAAAUAGAAGUUUAAUAUCUGGAAAUGGCAAUCUGUAAUAGAUUAUCGAGGAAUCUGGAAAAGAACUGAAGUCGAUAAGGUGCAGUGUCGCACAUGGAAGAUGACUAACCAAGAACCUUAUGAGUAACAGAGAAAUUGAUUUAUGAUUUAUGAACGUGAAGGGCCCUUCAAAAUCCCAGUUCUUUGGGUUCAACUUUAUCCAGCAUUCGUUUAUCUAUUUGAUUGAUUUGUCACACACUUCAUGUGUUUGACGAAAUGUCUCAAUGAAAUUUCACACAAUUCGACAUAAGGGGUGAGUGCAAUAGCUUUGUUAAAAAGGAUCUAAUGCCAUGACUAACCAAACAUAAUAAUAAACCAAGAAUUUAGAUGACGCUAAAACUAAUCAUCACAAGUGAAUAAAUUAUGCUAGACUUUUUUGGCUAAUUGUUUCUUGUACAUUGCUUGUCAAUUGCCUUUUCAUAAUAAAUUCAUCAAAAGUCCUAAUGACUGAAUUUUAGGAGCUUUUAUUGUAACACCCCAAAACUCGUAUUAUUAAUACGUAGGUACGUUGCCAUGUUAAUUAAAUGAAAUACAAUAACUAGGUUAUUAAACUUAGUUAAAAGCCUAACAAAAUAAGUAAAGGAAUGAAACUUGUGGCAACUAUGAUGGUGUGAUAAACUUGAGAGACUAGGAUUGCCAAAUUUGAAACUGAAUUUAAUUAAAACAAAAAUCUCACAUACACAAGGUGUGUGUGUGCGUGAGAUCGAUCAGGAGAAGGGAGUGAGGGGUGUAAACCCUAGCCCUCAAGAAACCAUCAAAUUGAAGAAGGAUUUCAGCCUAAACUAAUGCAUGAACUCGUUUUCUUGAUGAUCUAGCCCUAUUAAACAUGUGGUAAGUUGUAAUUUAUGAUUUGAUGAUCUUGCUAUGAAGUGGGUUAUGAACAAUUCAUGAAUUUGUAUGAAAUUGAUCAUGUACAUGUGUUAGAACCACCAUAUAGAACAUGAACUAUCCAAGAUUCUAAGUAAUUUGAUGAUUUUGGAUGAAACCCACUUGUAGUAGUGAAGAUGAUGAUAUGGAUAAUCAUACAUGUUUAAUUGUUGUGUAAAAUUUAUGUAUGAUGUUGUAUGUAAUGAGUAAUUGUUAGUUAAGUUGGGUAUAUUAUGUGAAUUAUAUGAUUCUAGUGGAACUAGAAGAUCUUGACAUGAACUUGUAAUAUUAUGCAUAAAAUACUUGUACUAUGUGCAUAGGAGGUAGUAUGCACUCCAAGUAUAUGAUGAAAUGCCUAAGUGAAGUUAGGAUGUGAGAUUGUAGGAAAUGGCUUGACAUAUAUGAAUGGAAUAUGAUAACGAUAUGAUUAGUAGUUUACUAACUUGAAGAAUGUGCUCUAGAUGGAACUCGUAUAAGAAUUCGGGUUGAAUGUAUGCGUGAGUCAAGUUUAUGCAUUUGGAGCUUGUAUGUUGUGUAUGUGACUAGGUGAUCAUGUAGUGGUAUGUGUCAUACAACAUUACGUAUGAAAUGAAUAUCACGUCAUUAAUAUGGUCUACUAUAUCAAUAUGAAUGCGUAUUCGAAAGUUAGAAGUUGUAUGCUAGAAGGUUGACUUUCUGAAAGUCAACCGAGAAUUUAUAGCAUAGAUAGGCAUUUUGACACAAAUAUAAGAACCGAGAGAUCAUGGAAUAUGUGUUAGACCAAUUAUGUGUUAUGUGUGAUAACGAAUUUGGAUUUCGAAGAUAUUGAACAAUGUGGAUGACAAAUCAUGUCGUAUGCUUGUUAGUGUAAGUCAAUAUAGAUAAGAGUUGAAAAAUGAAUGAGCAUGAAUGCUAACAUUAUUAUGGCAUGACGGCAUGAAAGAAUAGGAACCACACUAGCAUGGACCAAGCAUGGAAGGCUAACGGGUCAAGUUGAGGCAAGGAAAAUGAUACAAACACGGAUGCAUAUGGUAAGUGAUUUCCGCAAUCACUUCUUAGUUGUUUACGUAGAGUUAUGUGCUAGUUAAUUAAGUAUGAUAAUUGAGAACAAAUAAGAAUGGGUUGUAUGAAACUGAUGAUUUCCACUAAGUAGAUGUAACGGGUCAUAAAUGAGGUCUUAAUGUUAUAACGGAACGAAGAGUAAGGAAUGGCUACGGUAUGAUAACCGGGUAACGGGUAGAAUUGCGCAUAAGUGCGCUAAUGGGUAAACGGAAGUACGGAUAAUGUAAAAGUAUUAUGGCUACAACGUUCAUGUAAGUUUUGGGCUAAAACGAAUAUGUUGUUUGAUUAAAACAUGAAUGGGUCGAAUAAUUAUGCAUAAGUAAGGUAGCGGUAAUGAAAUUCGUAAAGAUUAAGGACCCGGGGCAAGGAUUCUUAGUCUAAAAUGCAGGGAAAGGUUUUACGGACAAUUAGAAACAAGUUAUGUUGAUAUAUGCAUGAACGGGUCAAAAUUUGGUAAAAGGGUAAUAAGCCGAAGGCUUAAAAGUCAUGAAGUUAGGUAGUCCAAAUAUUGGAUUUUCACUCCAUGUGAUGGAGAAUUAAAUUACGGUCGCGUAGGAAAAAGAAUCGGGUAAAACGGAUCAAAAACGAGAAAGUUAUGCUCGUUUCCGUGAAAUCGAGUCAUGCUGAGAAUUAUACAGCACCAGCUGCAACAUUCUGUCAAAACUAGGCCGUGGCGUAGCGCGACGGGGAAGGCCCCAGGCCGUAGCGCUACGCGAGCGGGUGUCAGUUUCGCGAAAAUCUUUUAUUUUAACCGUUGAUGCAUUGCGAACCCGUCUGGACCGUUUUUAAACGCGUAUAAGCUAAGAAUGACUAAUUUAUUCCUUGUUUUAGGAAGUGUAGACACGUAUAGAGGUAUGCAUGUAUAUAUGUAUGAAUAUAGGUUGUAUGUAUGAAUGAAGGUACGUUUGGAUGUAUGCAAGUAGGUAUAUAUAUGAGCGUAUGCACGUAUGUAGGCAUACGUGAAGAUAUGAAUGUAUGUUUGAAAGUAUGUAUGUAGGUGUGUAUGUAGGUAGUGUGUAUAUGUACGCAAGUGAGUAUGUACGAAUGUAUGCAUGUGUGUAGAUAUGUAUGUAGAUAUGUAUGUAAUGAUAUAGAUGUGGGUAUGUACGUAUGUAUGUUUAUAAGUAUGUGAGCAAGUAUACGCGGAUAUACGAAGGUAUGUAUGUGAGUAGGCAUGUAUGAGUUAGGUAUGUUGCAAGUAGGGAUGUAUGUGUAUAUAUAUGUAUAAUGCUAUGGGUGUACGUAAUGAUGUAAGUAUGGGUGUAUGUAGAUAUGUAUGUAAUGAUGUAGAUGAGUAUAUAUGUGGGUAUGUACGUAUGUACGUAAAUGGUUAUGUGUGAACAUAUAAAUAUGUAUAAGUAUGUAUGAAGGUAGGUACGCAAGUAUCCAAUGAAAUUGAGUACUAACGAUAAUAUUAGCGUGCCUGGUGAAUGAAGUGUAACGCAGGUACAGCGAGAAAGUCUCACCACGGAUUGUAUGAUCAGAUGGAAAGCUGGGAUGUAAAGAGUUAACGGAUCGAAAAGUAAACGUGAAUAAAUCUUGUAUGUUUAUAAUGUGUACUAAUGUUAUGAAUUUAAUGUGGUGAGCGCAGGUAGUACGAGUCAUGUGGAUCAUCAGGGAAUAGAGAUCGAGGAUCGAGUCACUAGUGAGAUUGUACGGAAUGUUGGUGUAUGUAAUGUAGUAAACUCAUGUUAUAUUUUUAAUUGUAAAUGAGUCGAUUGAUGACUUUCUGCGAAAGAGUUAUGUUAAAAAUGAAAUUUUAAGUAAGUCAAGGUAUUUAUAAGGAAAGAAAUUUUAUGGCUUAAA
Helianthus annuus (common sunflower) is the source of this 4363-nucleotide long non-coding RNA. RefSeq lists it as uncharacterized. The transcript is spliced from 2 exons. Lineage: Eukaryota; Viridiplantae; Streptophyta; Magnoliopsida; Asterales; Asteraceae. The record is from RefSeq and is a predicted model, not a curated record.